AUUAACCAAAAGCUGAACAAAAGUAAUUUCCUGCUAAUGGCCAAAACCCAAAUAAAAUAUCCAUGCUUAGAUACAGUUUAAAAUAUUAUAGAUGAAACUGUAUUUAUCAAAUUGACCUCAAUACUGGUAAAUUACAACAUGUCAAUACUGAACACACAUGGUGUUAAGCAAAUAGAUUUUGGAAAAUCAAAUUGACCUCUCCAGGCACAAUAGAAUGUUCUC
This 222-nucleotide long non-coding RNA is filed under the name Trifolium pratense (red clover). Its description in RNAcentral is "long non-coding RNA (TPRA_LNC006946)". The record is from RNAcentral. Lineage: Eukaryota; Viridiplantae; Streptophyta; Magnoliopsida; Fabales; Fabaceae.